GGGCCCGCACAAGCGGUGGAGCAUGUGGUUUAAUUCGAUGCAACGCGAAGAACCUUACCUGGGCUUGACAUUCUAUUGUAAGCUGUAGAGAUACGGUCCUCCCGCAAGGGACAGUAGAACAGGUGCUGCAUGGCUGUCGUCAGCUCGUGUCGUGAGAUGUUGGCUUAAGUGCCGCAACGAGCGCAACCCAUGUCCAUAGUUACCAUCAGGUAAUGCUGGGAACUCUAUGGAGACUGCCGGUGAUAAACCGGAGGAAGGUGUGGAUGACGUCAAGUCCUCAUGGCCUUUAUGUCCAGGGCCACACACGUGCUACAAUGGCAGAUACAGCGGGAAGCAAGCUCGCGAGAGCAAGCAGAUCCCUUAAAGUCUGCCCCAGUUCGGAUUGUAGUCUGCAACUCGACUACAUGAAGUCGGAAUCGCUAGUAAUCGCGGAUCAGCUACGCCGCGGUGAAUACGUUCUCGGGCCUU
This 468-nucleotide ribosomal RNA is filed under the name uncultured bacterium. RNAcentral describes it as "bacterial SSU rRNA". It matches the Rfam family "Bacterial small subunit ribosomal RNA", at positions 917 to 1382 of the family's 1533-position model. The record is from RNAcentral.